Dermacentor albipictus is the source of this 305-nucleotide non-coding RNA. Lineage: Eukaryota; Metazoa; Arthropoda; Arachnida; Ixodida; Ixodidae. The record is from RefSeq and is a predicted model, not a curated record.
CCAGGAACCAUGGUGGAGCAACGCCGUGGGAAGACCGUAUAAAAAGCAAGCACCCUUGCCAGCAGCAUCCAGUGGGGACGGCAGCAACGCGUGGGUGCUCAAACAAGUUUCUGCUAUUUCAACAGAGGCAACGCUGUUGGAAACUCUGUUUACGUGAAACGCCAUGGAUUAUAACAAGAAGUAUCCUUUUUCUACGGUAGGCAAGAUCCAAAAAUCGCAGGUUGGCGCUGACACCGGCCAGAUAUAGCCUUCGCUGCACCGCACGCAAUUGGGCAACUUCGUUAUUGUGAUUUGUAAAGUAUGCA